This 402-nucleotide ribosomal RNA is filed under the name Sphingomonas glacialis. RNAcentral describes it as "bacterial SSU rRNA". It matches the Rfam family "Bacterial small subunit ribosomal RNA", at positions 353 to 772 of the family's 1533-position model. The record is from RNAcentral. Lineage: Bacteria; Pseudomonadati; Pseudomonadota; Alphaproteobacteria; Sphingomonadales; Sphingomonadaceae.
AGUGGGGAAUAUUGGACAAUGGGCGAAAGCCUGAUCCAGCAAUGCCGCGUGAGUGAUGAAGGCCUUAGGGUUGUAAAGCUCUUUUACCCGGGAUGAUAAUGACAGUACCGGGAGAAUAAGCUCCGGCUAACUCCGUGCCAGCAGCCGCGGUAAUACGGAGGGAGCUAGCGUUAUUCGGAAUUACUGGGCGUAAAGCGCACGUAGGCGGCUUUGUAAGUAAGAGGUGAAAGCCUGGUGCUCAACACCAGAACUGCCUUUUAGACUGCAUCGCUUGAAUCCAGGAGAGGUGAGUGGAAUUCCGAGUGUAGAGGUGAAAUUCGUAGAUAUUCGGAAGAACACCAGUGGCGAAGGCGGCUCACUGGACUGGUAUUGACGCUGAGGUGCGAAAGCGUGGGGAGCAAA